CUAAUAUCAACAGUCACAAGAUCCAAUUUUUGGAUCUAGAGAUUAUACUUGAGCAAGGAAAAAUCGAAUACCAACUAUACACAAAACCAACGGACCGUAACACCUUACUCCAUUAUGAGAGUGCGCACCCCAAACAUGUGAGGGACUCUUUACCUUACUCACAAUUUUUGAGAGUAAUUCGAAACAACUUAAGGGAAGUCCAGUGUGAAGUACAGUUACAUGAAAUGUAU
This is a non-coding RNA of Pelobates cultripes (western spadefoot toad), 230 nucleotides long. NCBI's taxonomy places the organism in Eukaryota, Metazoa, Chordata, Amphibia, Anura, Pelobatidae. The record is from the annotation of a GenBank genome assembly.